GGUAUCGUGGGUGGGUGCUUGUCACUCUUCCUUCCUGAGACUUUGAAUCACGAGCUUCCGCAGUCACUGAGUGACGGAGAAGAGUUCGGAAGAGGACAAGGCAUCUGGGACUUCCCAUGCUGUGCCAAGCGGGUCGAUGAUGAU
Molecule: transfer RNA, 144 nt
Filed under: Belgica antarctica
Lineage: Eukaryota; Metazoa; Arthropoda; Insecta; Diptera; Chironomidae
Description: tRNA IU25_tRNA_14
Source: RNAcentral